GAUGAACGCUGGCGGCGUGCCUAACACAUGCAAGUCGAGCGGAAGGACGGUAAGCUUGCGCCUCUGAUGUUAGCGGCGGACGGGUGAGUAACACGUGGAUCACCUACCUAUAUUUCUGGGAUAACUACGGGAAACCGGAGAUACUACUACAGCAUAUUUUGAACCGGAUGGUUCAAAAGUGAAUGACGGUCUUGCUGUCUCUUCUAGAUGGAUCCGCGCUGCAUUAGCUAGUUGGUAAGGUAACGGCUUACCAAGGCUACGAUGCGUAGCCGACCUGAGAGGAUGAUCGGCCACACUGGAACUGAGACACGGUCCAGACUCCUACGGGAGGCAGCAGUGGGGAAUCUUCGGCAAUGGGCGGAAGCCUGACGGAGCAACGCCGCGUGGGUGAUGAAGGUCUUCGGGUCGUAAAACCCUGUUAUUGGGGAAGAACAGAUGUAGAAUUAAAUGUGCAUAUCUUGACGGUACCUAAACAAAAAGCACCGGCUAACUACGUG
Molecule: ribosomal RNA, 497 nt
Filed under: uncultured bacterium
Lineage: Bacteria
Description: partial 16S ribosomal RNA
Rfam family: Bacterial small subunit ribosomal RNA
Source: RNAcentral